Molecule: ribosomal RNA, 434 nt
Filed under: uncultured bacterium
Lineage: Bacteria
Description: bacterial SSU rRNA
Rfam family: Bacterial small subunit ribosomal RNA
Source: RNAcentral
GGACCCGCACAAGUAGUGGAGCAUGUGGUUUAAUUCGAAGAUACGCGCAGAACCUUACCAACACUUGACAUGUUCGUCGCGACUUUGAGAGAUCAAAGUUUUCGGUUCGGCCGGACGAAACACAGGUGCUGCAUGGCUGUCGUCAGCUCGUGUCGUGAGAUGUUGGGUUAAGUCCCGCAACGAGCGCAACCCUCACUUUUAGUUGCCAUCAUUUAGUUGGGCACUCUGAAAGAACUGCCAGUGAUAAGCUGGAGGAAGGUGGGGAUGACGUCAAGUCCUCAUGGCCCUUACGUGUUGGGCUACACACGUGCUACAAUGGUAUCUACAACAGGAAGCAAGACGGCGACGUCAAGCAAAUCCUUAAAAGAUACCUCAGUUCGGAUUGCACUCUGCAACUCGAGUGCAUGAAGCUGGAAUUACUAGUAAUCGUGGAU